Long non-coding RNA from Gallus gallus (chicken), 644 nucleotides. Lineage: Eukaryota; Metazoa; Chordata; Aves; Galliformes; Phasianidae. The record is from Ensembl.
UUCUUCUUGGAACUUUCUUUGGACUGCAGUGACAUCUACAGCAAAAGUGCAAGAAAAUAUUGUUAAAUAAAAGCUGCCUAUGGAAAAUCACCAGCACAAUUUAGCCAUUAAUUGAGAAGACUAUGACACUGCCAGUUCUGACCUUUGAGUGCUUUGUAGCAUGGGGUAGAUCUGCUCAGAACUUCAGACCCUCCACUGUAAGAUGGUAAGAGUGUUAUUCACAUUUUCUCCUCAGCAUCCAGAUAUUUAAAUAAGAAAAUACAAUCAUAGAAUCACAGAAUAGCUCAGGUUGGAAAAGACCUUCAAGUUCAUCAAGUCUAACCGCAACCUAACCAUACUGUCCUAACUCUAACAACCCACUACAAAAUCAUGUCCCUGAGCAAGACAUCCAAAUGGUUUUAAACACAUUCAGGGAUGGUGACUCAACCACCUCCCUGGGGAGCCUAUUCCAGUGCUUAACCACCCCUGCUGUAAAGAAGUUUUUCCUGAUAUCCAACCUAAGCUUACCCUGGCACAGCUUGAGGCCAUUUCCCCUCGUCCUGUCACCUGUCACAAGUGAGAAGAGACCAACCCCACUCACGCUAUAAUCACCUUUCAGGUAUUUGAAGAGAUCAAUAAGGUCUCCCCUCAGCCUCCUCUUCCCC